This is a non-coding RNA of Lipotes vexillifer (Yangtze River dolphin), 744 nucleotides long. NCBI's taxonomy places the organism in Eukaryota, Metazoa, Chordata, Mammalia, Artiodactyla, Lipotidae. The record is from the annotation of a RefSeq genome assembly.
ACUCAUCAAUUCCAGCUUCUGAAAAUGGGGUUCCCUGCUCAGCUCUUGGGCCUCCUCAUGCUCUGGGUCCCAGGAUCCAAUGGGGAUAUUGUGCUGACCCAGACUCCACUCUCCCUGUCUGUCAUCCCUGGAGACCCGGCCUCCAUCUCCUGCAGAUCCAGUCAGAGCCUCCUAGAUAGUGAUGGAGACACUUACUUGAAUUGGUAUCUGCAGAAACCAGGCCAGUCGCCACAGCUUCUGAUCUAUGGAGCUUCCAACUGGGCCUCUGGGGUCCCAGACAGGUUCACUGGCAGUGGGUCAGGGACAGAUUUCACCCUUAAAAUCAGCAGGGUGGAGGCUGAGGACGCUGGAGUUUAUUACUGCCAGCAUGGCAUGGAAAAUCCUCAUACGUUCGGCCAGGGGACCAAGGUGGAAAUCAAACGGUCUGAUGCUCAGCCAUCUGUCUUCCUCUUGCACCCAUCUGAACAGCAGUUAGAGACCAGAACUGCCUCUGUCGUGUGCUUUGUGAAUGGCUUUUACCCCAAAACUAUCAAAGUCAGUUGGAAAGUGGAUGGAGUUGUCCAAGACAGCAACAUCCAGGAGAGUUUCACUGAGCAGGACAGCAAGGAUAGCACAUACAGCCUCAGCAGCACCCUGACGCUGUCCAGGUCUGAGUACCAAAGCCAUAGUCUCUAUACCUGCGAGGUCAGUCACCAGUCCCUGGCCUCCGCCCUGGUCAAGAGCUUCAAUAAGAACGACUGUUAG